RNAcentral lists this non-coding RNA (1011 nucleotides) under Volvox carteri f. nagariensis. RNAcentral's name for it is "Archaeal large subunit ribosomal RNA". It matches the Rfam family "Eukaryotic large subunit ribosomal RNA", at positions 572 to 1593 of the family's 3401-position model. The record is from Rfam by way of RNAcentral. Lineage: Eukaryota; Viridiplantae; Chlorophyta; Chlorophyceae; Chlamydomonadales; Volvocaceae.
AUGACCAAGGCGUGAAGGUUGCUUUGUCCUUCGGGAUCCGCAUCCUAAAGACUCUGGCAGAAAAGCGUUAAUCGACCCGUCUUGANACACGGACCAAGGAGUCUAACAUGUAUGCGAGUUGGCGGGUUGAAAACCCGUAAGCGCAAGUAACCUGACUGGUGGGAUGGCCUGUGCCUGCACCAUCGACCGACCAUGUUGCUUUUGCGAAAGGUUUGAGUGCGAGCAUACCUGUUGGGACCCGAAAGAUGGUGAACUAUGCCUGAGCAGGGUGAAGCCAGAGUAACCUCUGGUGGAGGCUCGUAGAUGUGCUGACGUGCAAAUCGCUUUUCAGACUUGGGUAUAGGGGCGAAAGACUAAUCGAACCAUCUAGUAGCUGGUUCCCUCCGAAGUUUCCCCCAGGAUAGCUGGAGCUUGAUCAGUUUUAUCGGGUAAAGCGAAUGAUUAGAGGUUCGGGGGAUGAAACAUCCUUCACCUAUUCUCAAACUUUAAAUAGGUAAGACGUGUCGGUUGCUUAACUGAACCGUCACAUUCAAUGUGAGCUCCAAGUGGGCCAUUUUUGGUAAGCAGAACUGGCGAUGCGGGAUGAACCGAUAGUCGAGUUAAGGUGCCAAACUGCGCGCUAACCUAGAUCCCACAAAGGGUGUUGAUUGAUAUAAACAGCAGGACGGUGGUCAUGGAAGUCGAAAUCCGCUAAGGAGUGUGUAACAACUCACCUGCCGAAUCAAUUAGCCCCGAAAAUGGAUGGCGCUUAAGCGCGCGACCUAUACUCGGCCAUGGAUGCAAGUGCGACGCGUCCAUGAGUAGGAGGGCGUGGGUGUCGAGACUAAGCCUCUGGCGUGAGCCUGGGUGAAUCGGCAUCUAGUGCAGAUCUUGGUGGUAGUAGCAAAUAUUCAAAUGAGAACUUUGAAGACUGAAGUGGAGAAAGGUUCCAUGUGACAGCAAUUGGACAUGGGUUAGUCGAUCCUAAGAGAUGGGGCAAUCCUGUGUGAAGAGCGCGAUUUGCGCUUCCCA